GACGAACGCUGGCGGCGUGCUUAACACAUGCAAGUCGAACGCUGAAGCUUGGUGCUUGCACUGGGUGGAUGAGUGGCGAACGGGUGAGUAAUACGUGAGUAACCUGCCCUUGACCCUGGGAUAAGCCUGGGAAACUGGGUCUAAUACUGGAUACGACAUGUCACCGCAUGGUGGUGUGUGGAAAGGGUUUUACUGGUUUUGGAUGGGCUCACGGCCUAUCAGCUUGUUGGUGGGGUAAUGGCUCACCAAGGCGACGACGGGUAGCCGGCCUGAGAGGGUGACCGGCCACACUGGGACUGCGACACGGCCCAGACUCCUACGGGAGGCAGCAGUGGGGAAUAUUGCACAAUGGGCGGAAGCCUGAUGCAGCGACGCCGCGUGAGGGAUGACGGCCUUCGGGUUGUAAACCUCUUUCAGCACGGAAGAAGCGAAAGUGACGGUACGUGCAGAAGAAGCGCCGGCUAACUACGUG
RNAcentral lists this ribosomal RNA (472 nucleotides) under uncultured bacterium. RNAcentral's name for it is "partial 16S ribosomal RNA". It matches the Rfam family "Bacterial small subunit ribosomal RNA", at positions 28 to 507 of the family's 1533-position model. The record is from RNAcentral.